RNAcentral lists this ribosomal RNA (390 nucleotides) under uncultured bacterium. RNAcentral's name for it is "bacterial SSU rRNA". It matches the Rfam family "Bacterial small subunit ribosomal RNA", at positions 30 to 421 of the family's 1533-position model. The record is from RNAcentral.
AUUGAACGCUGGCGGCAUGCCUUACACAUGCAAGUCGAACGGCAGCACGGGAGCAAUCCUGGUGGCGAGUGGCGAACGGGUGAGUAAUAUAUCGGAACGUGCCCAGUCGUGGGGAUAACGUAGCGAAAGCUACGCUAAUACCGCAUACGAUCUAAGGAUGAAAGCGGGGGUUCGCAAGACCUCGCGCGAUUGGAGCGGCCGAUAUCAGAUUAGCUAGUUGGUGAGGUAAAGGCUCACCAAGGCGACGAUCUGUAGCUGGUCUGAGAGGACGACCAGCCACACUGGGACUGAGACACGGCCCAGACUCCUACGGGAGGCAGCAGUGGGGAAUUUUGGACAAUGGGCGCAAGCCUGAUCCAGCAAUGCCGCGUGCAGGAUGAAGGCCUUCGG